This 305-nucleotide ribosomal RNA is filed under the name uncultured bacterium. RNAcentral's name for it is "bacterial SSU rRNA". It matches the Rfam family "Bacterial small subunit ribosomal RNA", at positions 338 to 655 of the family's 1533-position model. The record is from RNAcentral.
CCAACCUAGGGACGCAGCAGUGGGGAAUAUUGGGCAAUGGGGGAAACCCUGACCCAGCAACGCCGCGUGAAGGAAGAAGGCUUUCGGGUUGUAAACUUCUUUUACCAGGGACGAAGAAAGUGACGGUACCUGGAGAAAAAGCAUCGGCUAACUCCGUGCCAGCAGCCGCGGUAAUACGGAGGAUGCGAGCGUUAUCCGGAUUUAUUGGGUUUAAAGGGUGCGUAGGCGGUCCGUUAAGUCAGCGGUAAAAUUGCGGGGCUCAACCCCGUCGAGCCGUUGAAACUGGCAGACUUGAGUUGGCGAGA